AUGUGCGUGCGUGCGUGUGUGUAUAUGUGUGUGUGUGUGUGUGUGUGUGUAUACUCAACUAUAGCACUUGAUUUCCCUUUUUUCUUCUUUUCACCUUUGAAAAUGGAAAUACUGCAUUAUGACUGUUGUCUAUCAUUUGUGGUGGUUUCAUGGCCCUGGAUGGAGGCCCCAACCAAGAAGCAUCAUGAGGGGAAGGCCUCCAGGGGUACCAUUUCUGCAGUUUCAGAUCCCUGGAGUAUGUGCGUGUGUGUGUGUAUGUGUGUAUCUCUCGGGUGCAUUUUGUGUACACUUGUGUCAAUAAGUACCUGGAUGCAGGCAUGCGUGUACUAUUCAAGACUUCCUUGCUAGCAACACGGGUCAGCUUCUGCAACACAUCAUGCGUGAGAGUGCCCAGUGGGUGUGUGGGUGUGCUGGGAGACCAAGGGGGAGGAAAUGCGGUGAGCUCCUAAUUGCACGUCUAAGGAUUAGUUUUCAAACAAAGGAUUUAUUUUAUGAGAAGGGAGGUCAUUUUCAGAAAAACCCGGUGUUUUGAUUGUAUAGGGGAAUUUUUGGUUUUUUUUUUAAGAAUUUUCUUUGAAAAGUUUGAUUUUCCCCUUCAGGGGAUGGGCAUACUUGGGUUCCAGAAAAAGUCAGGAGAAGUAUCUCAGAUUGAGAGGCCAGGUGUCUUCCUUCCAAGCGUCUUGACCGGGCUCUGCCUUGCCAGGAGAAUUGGGUAUUCACGGGGUGGAGGAGGGCAUGUCUGUGACCAGAUCCAAAUUUUAGCUGUUUCCCAGUUACAGGCAAAUGAGGAAAGAAACUCCAAAUGGGGCAAUUUGCUAUCAGUCAUUUAAACUCGUCUUAAGGAACUUUUCUUAAGGAACCAGUACUGCUCACCAACGUAUGAUACAUACCCUCUUUUAAAAUCCCGUGCUUGCUAUAAAUAGAUCAUACGCUGUCUCCAGUCUAAAUCAUAGACCUUGAACACAGCCUGUCGCAUCCCUUUGAAAUGUCCCUGAAAUGUUAGGAGGACUCCUAGGAAAGAAGUAAACCGCUUGGACUCACCUCACUAUUGUCAGAUCAAGAGCUUGGAGUUUUGUCUUGUUAGUGGGAUCAGGAAGGCGCGCAUGCGUGCACGCACGCACACAGACACGCACCCUGGGUCCGAGACUGCUCUGGGCGAAUAAAAGCCCAGCCGCACGGUCGAGGUGGAAGCUC
This 1194-nucleotide long non-coding RNA is filed under the name Sus scrofa (pig). Its description in RNAcentral is "lncRNA (ENSSSCG00050029698.1)". The record is from RNAcentral. Lineage: Eukaryota; Metazoa; Chordata; Mammalia; Artiodactyla; Suidae.